CCUACGGGAGGCUGCAGUAGGGAAUAUUGGUCAAUGGGCGAGAGCCUGAACCAGCCAUGCCGCGUGCAGGAAGAAGGCGUUAUGCGUUGUAAACUGCUUUUAUAUAGGAAGAAAAAGGGGGGUGCGCCCCCAACUGACGGUACUAUAUGAAUAAGCACCGGCUAACUCCGUGCCAGCAGCCGCGGUAAUACGGAGGGUGCAAGCGUUGUCCGGAUUUAUUGGGUUUAAAAGGUGCGUAGGCGGGGAAUUAAGUCAGUGGUGAAAGCCCACAGCUCAACUGUGGAGGCGCCAUUGAUACUGGUUUUCUUGAGUGUAGUUGAGGCAGGCGGAAUUUACGAUGUAGCGGUGAAAUGCAUAGAUAUCGUAAAGAACACCUAUAGCGAAGGCAGCUUGCUAAGCUACAACUGACGCUGAGGCACGAAAGCAUGGGGAGCGAACAGGAUUAGAUACCCUUGUAGUC
Molecule: ribosomal RNA, 460 nt
Filed under: uncultured bacterium
Lineage: Bacteria
Description: bacterial SSU rRNA
Rfam family: Bacterial small subunit ribosomal RNA
Source: RNAcentral